Molecule: ribosomal RNA, 504 nt
Filed under: uncultured beta proteobacterium
Lineage: Bacteria; Pseudomonadati; Pseudomonadota; Betaproteobacteria
Description: bacterial SSU rRNA
Rfam family: Bacterial small subunit ribosomal RNA
Source: RNAcentral
GACAUGUCAGAGAUCCCUGAGAGAUUGGGGAGUGCCGCAAGGAAUCUGAACACAGGUGCUGCAUGGCUGUCGUCAGCUCGUGUCGUGAGAUGUUGGGUUAAGUCCCGCAACGAGCGCAACCCUUGUCGUUAAUUGCCAUCAUUUGGUUGGGCACUUUAACGAGACUGCCGGUGACAAACCGGAGGAAGGUGGGGAUGACGUCAAGUCCUCAUGGCCCUUAUGGGUAGGGCUUCACACGUCAUACAAUGGUCGGUACAGAGGGUUGCGAAGCCGCGAGGUGGAGCCAAUCCCAGAAAGCCGAUCGUAGUCCGGAUUGGAGGCUGCAACUCGCCUCCAUGAAGUCGGAAUCGCUAGUAAUCGCGGAUCAGCAUGUCGCGGUGAAUACGUUCCCGGGUCUUGUACACACCGCCCGUCACACCAUGGGAGUGGGUUCUGCCAGAAGUAGGUAGCUUAACCGCAAGGAGGGCGCUUACCACGGCAGGGUUCAUGACUGGGGUGAAGUCG